UCUGGACAUUGCCACAGGAGGAGAUGAACAUUUUUUUCUUGGAAACACAUCUGUCAAAAUCCUACACACCUCCCACGGCACUGUGUUCCUGCCCGGGACAAAGGGCAGCGGGAACCUUGCUGCGGUAUUUGCUGUGUGCCUGAGGAGGCGGCAGCGCCCUGCAAGGGCAGGGACAGGCUCGGCGCCUUGAGGCUUCAGUGAUGUCUGAGUAAACGCUGUGAAGACCCAGAGCCCCUGCUGUGCAUGAUCACAACCCAGGAACUUCCUCCUCAUCUCCACUCUCAGAACCGUAACCUGAGCCAAUGCAGACUGAAGAAUAUUCCAAGUUGGAAGUGACCCACAAGGAUCAUCAAGUUCAACACUUAAGUGAAUGGCGGUACAGGCUCAUAUCCAUCUAUUUGAUAAGACACAGGAAGUCUUCAACUGCAGCAGGGUGCUCCUGUUUCUCUGUAUGCUCUCCUGUAAAUGAGGACAGAUCAUGGUCAUCAACUAAAAGUAACACAAUGUUAUAGAAUGGAAUUUGCUCAAUCUCUCCAAGGCAUUUCCAGAUUAUAGCAUUAACCUUUCUAAAGCACUCAGUGGAUUG
Long non-coding RNA from Melospiza melodia melodia, 586 nucleotides. RefSeq lists it as uncharacterized. The record is from RefSeq and is a predicted model, not a curated record. Lineage: Eukaryota; Metazoa; Chordata; Aves; Passeriformes; Passerellidae. The transcript is spliced from 3 exons.